UAGCAGUUCUUCAACUGCAUACAAGCGGA
RNAcentral lists this small RNA (29 nucleotides) under Bombyx mori (domestic silkworm). RNAcentral describes it as "ovarian small RNA-22285". Lineage: Eukaryota; Metazoa; Arthropoda; Insecta; Lepidoptera; Bombycidae. The record is from RNAcentral.